RNAcentral lists this ribosomal RNA (483 nucleotides) under uncultured bacterium. Its description in RNAcentral is "partial 16S ribosomal RNA". It matches the Rfam family "Bacterial small subunit ribosomal RNA", at positions 28 to 523 of the family's 1533-position model. The record is from RNAcentral.
GACGAACGCUGGCGGCGUGCUUAACACAUGCAAGUCGAACGAUGAAGCUGGAGCUUGCUCCGGUGGAUUAGUGGCGAACGGGUGAGUAACACGUGAGCAAUCUGCCCUUGACUCUGGGAUAACUGCGGGAAACUGUAGCUAAUACCGGAUACGAGGCUCGAAGGCAUCUUCGGGUCUGGAAAGAAUCUCGGUCAAGGAUGAGCUCGCGGCGUAUCAGCUUGUUGGUGAGGUAAUGGCUCACCAAGGCGACGACGGGUACCCGGCCUGAGAGGGUGACCGGCCACACUGGGACUGAGACACGGCCCAGACUCCUACGGGAGGCAGCAGUGGGGAAUAUUGCACAAUGGGCGAAAGCCUGAUGCAGCAACGCCGCGUGAGGGAUGAAGGCCUUCGGGUUGUAAACCUCUUUUAGCAGGGAAGAAGCGAAAGUGACGGUACCUGCAGAAAAAGCACCGGCUAACUACGUGCCAGCCGCCGCAGUAA